UAGAGUUUGAUCAUGGCUCAGAACGAACGCUGGCGGCAGGCUUAACACAUGCAAGUCGARCGCYCCGCAAGGGGAGUCGGCAGACGGGUGAGUAACAGCGUGGGAAUCUACCCUUUUCUACGGAAYAACGCAKGGAAACKUGUGCUAAUACCGUAUGUGYCCUUYGGGGUGAAAGAUUUAUCGGKAAAGGAUGRGCCCGCGUUGGAUUAGCUAGUUGGUGGGGUAAAGGCCUACCAAGGCGACGAUCCAUAGCUGGUCUGAGAGGAUGAUCAGCCACAUUGGGACUGAGACACGGCCCAAACUCCUACGGGAGGCAGCAGUGGGGAAUAUUGGACAAUGGGCGCAAGCCUGAUCCAGCCAUGCCGCGUGAGUGAUGAAGGCCCUAGGGUUGUAAAGCUCUUUCACCGGAGAAGAUAAUGACGGUAUCCGGAGAAGAAGCCCCGGCUAACUUCGUGCCAGCAGCCGCGGU
This 469-nucleotide ribosomal RNA is filed under the name uncultured bacterium. Its description in RNAcentral is "bacterial SSU rRNA". It matches the Rfam family "Bacterial small subunit ribosomal RNA", at positions 1 to 521 of the family's 1533-position model. The record is from RNAcentral.